AGUGAACGCUGGCGGUAGGCCUAACACAUGCAAGUCGAACGGCAGCACAGUAAGAGCUUGCUCUUACGGGUGGCGAGUGGCGGACGGGUGAGGAAUACAUCGGAAUCUACUUUUUCGUGGGGGUUAACGUAGGGAAACUUACGCUAAUACCGCAUACGACCUACGGGUGAAAGCAGGGGAUCUUCGGACCUUGCGCGAUUGAAUGAGCCGAUGUCGGAUUAGCUAGUUGGCGGGGUAAAGGCCCACCAAGGCGACGAUCCGUAGCUGGUCUGAGAGGAUGAUCAGCCACCCUGGAACUGAGACACGGUCCAGACUCCUACGGGAGGCAGCAGUGGGGAAUAUGGGACAAUGGGCGCAAGCCUGAUCCAGCCAUACCGCGUGGGUGAAGAAGGCCUUCGGGUUGUAAAGCCCUUUUGUUGGGAAAGAAAAGCAGCAGGUUAAUACCCCGCUGUUCUGACGGUACCCAAAGAGUAAGCACCGGCUAACUUCGUG
Molecule: ribosomal RNA, 492 nt
Filed under: uncultured bacterium
Lineage: Bacteria
Description: partial 16S ribosomal RNA
Rfam family: Bacterial small subunit ribosomal RNA
Source: RNAcentral